RNAcentral lists this ribosomal RNA (428 nucleotides) under Anaplasma phagocytophilum. RNAcentral describes it as "bacterial SSU rRNA". It matches the Rfam family "Bacterial small subunit ribosomal RNA", at positions 29 to 482 of the family's 1533-position model. Lineage: Bacteria; Pseudomonadati; Pseudomonadota; Alphaproteobacteria; Rickettsiales; Anaplasmataceae. The record is from RNAcentral.
AACGAACGCUGGCGGCAAGCUUAACACAUGCAAGUCGAACGGAUUAUUCUUUAUAGCUUGCUAUAGAGAAUAGUUAGUGGCAGACGGGUGAGUAAUGCAUAGGAAUCUACCUAGUAGUAUGGGAUAGCCACUAGAAAUGGUGGGUAAUACUGUAUAAUCCCUGCGGGGGAAAGAUUUAUCGCUAUUAGAUGAGCCUAUGUUAGAUUAGCUAGUUGGUAGGGUAAAGGCCUACCAAGGCGAUGAUCUAUAGCUGGUCUGAGAGGAUGAUCAGCCACACUGGAACUGAGAUACGGUCCAGACUCCUACGGGAGGCAGCAGUGGGGAAUAUUGGACAAUGGGCGCAAGCCUGAUCCAGCUAUGCCGCGUGAGUGAGGAAGGCCUUAGGGUUGUAAAACUCUUUCAGUAGGGAAGAUAAUGACGGUACCUAC